ACGAACGCUGGCGGCUGCUUAACACAUGCAAGUCGAACGGAGUGGCGAACGGGUGAGUAACGCGUGAGCAACCUGCCUAUGACAGUGGGAUAGCCUCGGGAAACCGGGAGUAAUACCGCAUAGUCAUAGAUGGGCUAGCGUCUGAUUAGCUAGUUGGUGAGAUAACAGCCCACCAAGGCGACGAUCAGUAGCCGGGCUGAGAGGAUGAACCGCCACAUCUGAACUGAGACACGGUACAAACUCCUACGGGAGGCAGCAGUGGGGAAUAGUGCACAAUGGGGGAAACCCUGAUGCAUCGAGGCCGCGUGAACGAAGAAGGUAGUCGUAUCGUAAAGUUUUGUCCUAUGGGAAGCAGUACCAUAGAAGAAAGCUCCGGCUAAAUACGUGCCAGCAGCCGCGGUAAUAC
This 406-nucleotide ribosomal RNA is filed under the name uncultured bacterium. RNAcentral describes it as "partial 16S ribosomal RNA". It matches the Rfam family "Bacterial small subunit ribosomal RNA", at positions 29 to 526 of the family's 1533-position model. The record is from RNAcentral.